Populus trichocarpa (black cottonwood) is the source of this 1939-nucleotide RNA transcript. It is a transcript of the gene named berberine bridge enzyme-like 13, with no coding region annotated. The transcript is spliced from 2 exons. Lineage: Eukaryota; Viridiplantae; Streptophyta; Magnoliopsida; Malpighiales; Salicaceae. The record is from RefSeq and is a predicted model, not a curated record.
AAAAAUUUCUUCUAUGCAAAGAUUGCAGAGUAAUAUUAUAUUCCUAAGAUAAUAGAAGGAUUAAAACAAUUUCCGGUCACCUCAUCACAGCUCCUCUCUACAAGAGAACACCUUGAGACUUCAAUUCUUGAAGGCAAGCCAGAGAGGCAAGAAAGCAGGCAAAAUGGUGCCUUCAAGAUCCUCCAUACUUUCAAUACUUGUGGUCCUACUCCUAUCUCCAUUUAUAGUUUCACUUCCAAUUCAGGAUAGGUUUCUAAAAUGUCUCUCAAAAUAUUCAGAUACAUCCUUUCCUUUUUCCACUGUCUUGUAUACUCCACAAAACUCUUCUUUCACUACUGUCUUACAAUCUUCUGCUCAAAACCUCAGGUUCACCUCGCCUUCAGUACCGAAACCUGAGUUUAUCUUCACUCCUUUACAAGAAUCUCACAUCCAAGCUGUUGUUAUUUGCUCUAAGCAGCUUGGAAUUCACCUUAGAGUCCGUAGCGGAGGCCAUGAUUAUGAGGGACUCUCUUAUGUUUCAGAAAUCGAGAAACCUUUCGUUGUUGUAGACCUUGCCAAGCUCCGGUCCAUCAGCGUUGAUAUUGAGCAUAAUAGCGCGUGGGUUCAGGUGGGUGUCACGAAUGGUGAACUUUACUACAGAAUUUCUGAGAAAAGCAAAACCCAUGGCUUCCCAGCUGGCACUUGCACAAGUUUAGGUAUGGGCGGGCACAUUUCAGGAGGUGCAUAUGGUGCCAUGUUGCGAAAAUAUGGCCUUGGAGCGGACAACGUCGUUGAUGCACAUCUAAUUGAUGUUCAUGGUAGACUUCUCAACCGAAAACUCAUGGGCGAAGAUCUUUUCUGGGCCAUCAGAGGAGGUGCAGGGGGGAGCUUCGGAAUUGUCACCGCCUGGAAGUUAAAAUUGGUUCCCGUACCAUCAACCGUGACAGUAUUUACCGUUACCAAGACCUUAGAACAAGGUGCAACUAAGAUCCUUUAUAGAUGGCAAGAAAUUGCUGAUAAACUAGACGAGGAUCUUUUCAUCAAAGUACUCAUUCAGACAGCUAACGUCACCUCCCAAGGUAAAAGAACUAUUGCUACUUCUUACAAUUCCUUGUUUCUUGGUGAUGCCAGGAGGCUUCUUCAGAUAAUGCAGCGCAGCUUUCCUGAAUUGGGUUUGACACGAAAAGAUUGUAUCGAAACAAACUGGAUCAAUUCCACUGUAUUUAUGGCUUUGCUCCAAAAUAAUACUCCUCCUGAAGUUUUCCUUCAAAGAAAAGACCCGAACAGGCGGUAUUUCAAAGCCAAAUCGGACUAUGCCAAAAAACCCGUUUCUGAAAAGGCACUUGAAGGGUUAUGGGAGAAGUUAUUUGAAGUAGAGAGUCCUCUAGUAGUGUUUACUCCUUAUGGUGGAAUGAUGAGCCAAAUUUCAGAAUCUCAGACUCCUUUCCCUCAUAGAAAAGGUACCAAGUUCAUGAUUCUGUACUAUACCGGUUGGCAAGAUGCAAAGGAAAACGUUGCAAAGCAUAUAGAUUGGACUAGGAUGGUUUACAAUUACAUGAAACCUUAUGUCUCGAAGAACCCAAGGGAAGCAUAUGCGAAUUACAGGGAUCUUGAUUUGGGCAUGAACAACAAUUCUAACACAAGUUUUGUUGAAGCGAGUGCUUUUGGUACUAAGUACUUCAAGGAUAACUUCUACAGGUUGGUGCAUGUGAAGACCAAAGUUGAUCCUGAUAAUUUCUUCAGGCACGAACAAAGCAUUCCACCACUUCCACUGCACAUGAGAUAAAGAAAUUGAAGUGGAAAUCAUCUCCAGCAAAGCUUAGUUGGAUCACUAUUUUCACAAGUCUUGAUCGAUCUUUUGUUUUAAUACUUUAGCUAAAUAAAGAAAUGUCAUGCUGUGCAAUUAUGCUGUCUUGCGGUUUUUUUAUUAUAAAUAAAAGCUUUGCAUUAAAUAGUCCAA